AUGAUGUAUUUUUGCAUGCUUUCUGCAGUCUAUGCAUGUUCGUGGUUAUACAGGUUGGAGCCUGCAACUGAUAAUAAGCUCAGUCUUAAUCUAUGCAUUGUUCUACAUGUUUGUUGGCAGAUAGAGAUAAAAAGGGAAAGUGAACAUAUGGUGAUUGAAUUUACUUCCUGCAUCUAUAGUAUUUUACACCAAUGCAACAUUUGUGAAAUCGAGAUAGUAUAUUUAUUUGCCACAUGUAUUGUGUUGCCCCUGAAUGUAAUACUGUUCGGUUAUAUCUUGGUAUUUACGUUAUCUGAAUCACUUCGUUUUGAUACGUGCAUUGCCAUUUUCAAAAGUAUAUCCAUUGUUCCUUCCUGGUGGUCAAGUGGCAAUGCAGAGCAUGCUGGUGAACUUUCAAACUCAUCUGCUUUCGUGUUGAUGAUAUGUAGACAAAAGAGCAAGACAUAG
This 447-nucleotide ribosomal RNA is filed under the name Triticum aestivum (bread wheat). RNAcentral describes it as "partial small subunit ribosomal RNA". The record is from RNAcentral. Lineage: Eukaryota; Viridiplantae; Streptophyta; Magnoliopsida; Poales; Poaceae.